Molecule: transfer RNA, 69 nt
Filed under: Garra flavatra
Lineage: Eukaryota; Metazoa; Chordata; Actinopteri; Cypriniformes; Cyprinidae
Description: tRNA-Tyr
Rfam family: tRNA
About the family: Transfer RNA (tRNA) molecules are approximately 80 nucleotides in length. Their secondary structure includes four short double-helical elements and three loops (D, anti-codon, and T loops).
Source: RNAcentral
GGUAGGGUGGCCGAGUGUAGGCGGUGGGUUGUAGCCCCAAAGAUGGAGGUUUUAAUCCUCCCUCUACCA